CGCUGAGCCACCCAGGGAUCCCCCGAUCUGUCUCUUCUUAAAGGGGUCUGAGCCAAGAACUAAGGGUAGAGGGAAAGUUUUCAUUCUUCCCCAACACAACGAAAGAAGAAUCAACAAAUAAUUGCAAAGGUGCCAAAUGUUGAUCAGCUUUGACCGUUACCGUCGAAGUCUGCAUGUCAUUAGUACCCACUCCUGUCCUCAGCCGACUGCUGAAAUUUCACCUACUAUUCUGUUUUUACAUGAUGGCUCUUGGGGACACUCAGUGAUUUAUUGCACACUCCAGGGAUCCUACUUCUCUAACUUUUAUGGUCCUGAGACCUUGUUGGCUUCUCCACAAAUGCCUGGAUCCAUCAGGAAUGUCCAUUUCAUUCACGGUGGCGGGCCCGUGGAAAACACGGAGUACCUGAAGUUGCAGUGAGUACUGGCACCCACAGGAUCACCCCCACGGUCUGAAGAGUAAAAGAGUUCAACUUUGCAAGAUUUCAAGGAAGAAAAAAUGACCAACUUUCUUAAACUUAGGAUGUAGUCCUGAAGGAAGAACAAGUUCAAGGAGAAAAACGUCCUUGUACCUACCUUCCCACUCAUGCUCUCUUUUGACUUGCUAUGAGAUUGAAGAUAUAGAAUUAUAAUUCUGCAAACCUUUCAUGAGAUGUUUUCAUAAUGUUAUAAUGUAUUCAUAAUGUCAAAUGUUGAGGGGUGAGUGAGAAAUGAAAUUUUCAUUUAUAUUGUA
Canis lupus familiaris (dog) is the source of this 730-nucleotide long non-coding RNA. RefSeq lists it as uncharacterized. The record is from RefSeq and is a predicted model, not a curated record. NCBI's taxonomy places the organism in Eukaryota, Metazoa, Chordata, Mammalia, Carnivora, Canidae. The transcript has 2 exons.